RNAcentral lists this ribosomal RNA (136 nucleotides) under Callithrix jacchus (white-tufted-ear marmoset). The record is from RNAcentral. Lineage: Eukaryota; Metazoa; Chordata; Mammalia; Primates; Cebidae.
AUCUCUGGCUAUACGACCCUGAAGGUGCCUGAUCUCAUCUGAUCUUAGAAGCUAAGCAGGGUCAGGCCUGGUUAGUACUUGGAUGGGAGAAAAACGAUGCCCCAAGGAUCCGGUGAUAUACAGGUAGCUGUGUAUC